AUUGAACGCUGGCGGCAGGCUUAACACAUGCAAGUCGAGCGGAGAUGAGGUGCUUGCACCUUAUCUUAGCGGCGGACGGGUGAGUAAUGCUUAGGAAUCUGCCUAUUAGUGGGGGACAACAUUCCGAAAGGAAUGCUAAUACCGCAUACGUCCUACGGGAGAAAGCAGGGGAUCUUCGGACCUUGCGCUAAUAGAUGAGCCUAAGUCGGAUUAGCUAGUUGGUGGGGUAAAGGCCUACCAAGGCGACGAUCUGUAGCGGGUCUGAGAGGAUGAUCCGCCACACUGGGACUGAGACACGGCCCAGACUCCUGCGGGAGGCAGCAGUGGGGAAUAUUGGACAAUGGGGGGAACCCUGAUCCAGCCAUGCCGCGUGUGUGAAGAAGUCCUUAUGGUUGUAAAGCACUUUAAGCGAGGAGGAGGCUACUGAGACUAAUACUCUUGGAUAGUGGACGUUACUCGCAGAAUAAGCACCGGCUAACUCUGUGCCAGCCGCCGCAGUAA
RNAcentral lists this ribosomal RNA (501 nucleotides) under uncultured bacterium. RNAcentral's name for it is "partial 16S ribosomal RNA". It matches the Rfam family "Bacterial small subunit ribosomal RNA", at positions 30 to 523 of the family's 1533-position model. The record is from RNAcentral.